GGAGGGUAUAGCUCAGUGGUAGAGUGUGUGCUUAGCAUGCACAAGGUCCUGGGUUCAAUCCCCAGUACCUCCA
Molecule: transfer RNA, 73 nt
Filed under: Vicugna pacos (alpaca)
Lineage: Eukaryota; Metazoa; Chordata; Mammalia; Artiodactyla; Camelidae
Description: tRNA-Ala (AGC) (tRNA-Ala-AGC-23 1 to 6)
Rfam family: tRNA
About the family: Transfer RNA (tRNA) molecules are approximately 80 nucleotides in length.
Source: RNAcentral